Candoia aspera is the source of this 104-nucleotide small nuclear RNA. The record is from RefSeq and is a predicted model, not a curated record. NCBI's taxonomy places the organism in Eukaryota, Metazoa, Chordata, Lepidosauria, Squamata, Candoiidae.
ACAUUUUAAGCAACACAUGUACUAAAAUUAGAACAAUACAGAGAAGAUUAGCAUGGCCCCUAAGCAAGAACGACAUGCAAAUUUGUGAAACAUUCUAUAUUUUU